RNAcentral lists this unclassified non-coding RNA (429 nucleotides) under soil metagenome. RNAcentral's name for it is "partial contains 5.8S ribosomal RNA, internal transcribed spacer 2, and large subunit ribosomal RNA". The stretch from base 1 to 119 matches the Rfam family "5.8S ribosomal RNA", at positions 35 to 154 of the family's 154-position model. The record is from RNAcentral.
GAUGAAGAACGAGCGAAAUGCGAUACGUAAUGUGAAUUGCAGAAUUCAGUGAAUCAUCGAAUCUUUGAACGCAUAUUGCGCUCUCUGGUAUUCCGGAGAGCAUGCUUGUUUGAGUAUCAGUAAACACCUCAACUCCCUUUUCUUUUUUGAAAUUGGAGCUGGACUUGAGUGAUCCCAACGCUUUCUUCCAAGAAAGUGGCGGGUUGCUUGAAAUGCAGGUGCAGCUGAACUUUUCUCUGAGCUAUAAGCAUAUCUAUUUAGUCUGCCUAAAAAACAGAUUAUUACCUUUGCUGCAGCUAACAUAAAGGAGACUAGUUCUUGUGCUGACUGAUGCAGGAUUCACAGAGACAGCUUCGGCUGACUUUGUAAACUCGAUCUCAAAUCAAGUAAGACUACCCGCUGAACUUAAGCAUAUCAAUAAGCGGAGGA